UACAGAGACCUCAAGCGUUAUCCGGAAUCAUUGGGCGUAAAGCGUACCGAUAGGUGGUUUUGUUAGUCUUGGGUAAAAGCCAGAAGCUCAACUUCUGAGUUUGCUUAAGAUACUGCGAAACUAGAGGGGCAAAGAGGUGAUUGGAACGAAUGGUGUAGUAGUGAAAUGCGUUGAUAUCAUUCGGAACACCGAAAGCGAAGGCAGAUCACUGGGUGCCUCCUGACACUGCUAGGACGAAAGCGUGGGUAGCGAAUGGG
Molecule: ribosomal RNA, 257 nt
Filed under: uncultured bacterium
Lineage: Bacteria
Description: partial 16S ribosomal RNA
Rfam family: Bacterial small subunit ribosomal RNA
Source: RNAcentral